Molecule: ribosomal RNA, 278 nt
Filed under: uncultured bacterium
Lineage: Bacteria
Description: partial 16S ribosomal RNA
Rfam family: Bacterial small subunit ribosomal RNA
Source: RNAcentral
UGUCCGGAUUUACUGGGUGUAAAGGGUGCGUAGGCGGCUUUGCAAGUCAGAUGUGAAAUCUAUGGGCUCAACCCAUAAACUGCAUUUGAAACUGUAGAGCUUGAGUGAAGUAGAGGCAGGCGGAAUUCCCCGUGUAGCGGUGAAAUGCGUAGAGAUGGGGAGGAACACCAGUGGCGAAGGCGGCCUGCUGGGCUUUAACUGACGCUGAGGCACGAACAGCGUGGGUAGCCAACAGGAUUACAUACCCGGGUAGUCCACGCUGUAAACGAUGAUUACUA